RNAcentral lists this ribosomal RNA (1004 nucleotides) under Arthonia thoriana. Its description in RNAcentral is "SSU rRNA". It matches the Rfam family "Bacterial small subunit ribosomal RNA", at positions 370 to 1294 of the family's 1533-position model. The record is from RNAcentral. Lineage: Eukaryota; Fungi; Ascomycota; Arthoniomycetes; Arthoniales; Arthoniaceae.
AAUGGCCUAACGGCUGAACCAGCAACUUGGGUGAACGAAAAAGCAUUUUAUUUUCCACAUGGAAAAUAAAAUGUAGUUUUUUUGGCUGAGUGCCGGCUGUCGUUAAUAGAAUUUUUAAUUCUAUGUACAGUAAGAGGUUUUGGCCUCUUUUUUGCAAGCUUCGGCUAUUAGCGAUUUAUUCGCAUAAAGUUCUAUAUAGAAUACAGAUAAUGACUAUUUUCUAUAUAAAAGUCUUGACUAAAACACGUGCCAGCAGUCGCGGCAACACGGGACAGACUAGUGUUAUUCAUCUUUAAUAGGUUUAAAGGGUACUUAGACGGCUAAUUUAGCCCCCAUUGAACUGGGAUGGUACAAAUUUGCUAGAGUUUUAUAUGAGAGGGAUUUAGUACUAACAGAGUAGAGAUGAAAUUCUUUGAUACUGUAGGGCACUGAUAACGGCGAAGGCAGACCUUUAUGUAAAAACUGACGUUGAGGGACGAAGGCUUGGGUAACAAACAGGAUUAGGUACCCUAAUAGUCCAGGCAGAAAAUGAUGAGUGCCAUAGAUUAGAAAAUAUUUGAUCUAUAAAUGAAAGUGAAAGCACUCCACCUUAAGAGUAAUGCGGCAACGCAGGAACUGAAAUCAUUAGACCGUUUCUGAUACCAGUAGUGAAGUAUGUUGUUCAAUUCGAUGAUCCACGAAAAAUCUUACCACAAUUUGAAUAUUAUAACAUUAAUAGGAAAAUCUUUUAUGAAAGUGUUAAUAAUACAGGUGUUGCAUGGCUGUCUUCAGUUGAUGUCGUGAGAUGCAGGUUAGCUCCAAUAAAUCAACGUGAACCCUUACUUUAUUUUAGAUGACAAUGUCAUCUACAUAGAGUAGUUCCCCGGCAUAUCGGAUAGAUAACAGGGACUAAGACAAGUCCUCAUGGCCCGGACAUUGUGGGCUAUAGACGUGCCACAUAUACCUUGACAAAGAGAUGCAAAAAUGUGAAUGUUAAGCUAAUCUCUAAAAAUAGGUUAUAGCAA